UUUUACUUCUUACGUACUAUGGAAGAGGCAGAGGAGUCCUCUGGGACUGAGCACACCUUUUCUACCUGCACUCUGGCAGACAACUCCAGCCCCAGGGAGCCCAGGAGGUCCCUCACUGCGGUAACUCUACAAGUUGUUUGGAGAUCAGCAACCUAGGGGAUAGUUGCAGCCUCUGGCAUGCCUUCUCCCUAUUAACCUGCAUAAAUCAGGAAAAAAUAGUGAUAAGAGGAACCAAAGGGAAUGAAUCUUUGAUGAUGUCCUUGUCACUUGAAACCAUUCACUGGAACAAGGAGAAGUCACCUGUACACCCUUGUUUUUUUCAUAGGAGACAUCUGUAACAAAGAUGCAAACUGGUUUAUUCACAUCCUGGAAGUCAGCAUUGACCAGCUGGUUACUGAGCCACUGUUUCUACACAGACAGAGCCACAUGCCCUCCAAGAGUGAAGGGGACUCUCAGGACUUCACACAGCAUGGCAGCAACAUGGGGGAAAAGGGCUACAGUGCAGAAUGCCCUAGAAAACCAAGAAAAUGCUCUGAAACAGCACUUAAGGGAAACAGAGCUCCUAAAGGAGGAUGUAGAAAGAACAGACAGGAAAUGUGAUCCCUCCAGCAGCCUGGGUGGAUGGAAAUCCUUGGGUCUCUCACCACAGAGCAUCCUCUCUGGGUCUUAUUCACUCUCAGUGCUUUUCCUUGUUCCAUCUUCACUGCCCCAGCAUCACACUGAGAGCAGUACGGCUACUCAGAGCAGCAGCCACUCCAAGAAGAGCCUCAUUAGUAUCAAACACAGUGCCAGAAUGCGCCUUGUCAUUGCAGGUGACUUUUUGGCACCACCCCCCGUGGCUUUCUGCUCAGAUGUGACCAUGGAUAGGAUCUUCACCUCCACACAGCUGAGGGUCCUGUGGCAUUCCUGGUGUGUGGAAGAGGACAGGAAGGCCCCAUCUGCAGGGAUGUUUUCAAUUCUCCCUGACUUUGGUCAAGACUGCAGAAUUCAUAGAUCCUCUUGCUCUAAUCAGAGAGGCCUUGUGGAGCUGUUUAUCUACCAAAUUUCCCAGCACCUCUUUCCACUGGUUACUUUCUUGUCUGGUAUGCCUGGUUUAUAUUUGCACCCAGGUACAUCAUCUUAUAGUUGGCUUUUCUGAGUUGCACAGUGCUUUUCCACGGAGCCACCCAGAGCAAUCUGUAUCACCAUCUGCCUCUCUUCCAAUUCUUCCUCUUUAUCUCAAUUGGAAGUUCUUUUUGCAAUGUUGUUUUAUCAGUUUUGUUUUAUCAGGCCAUUGAUCAAAUUAUAAAAUGUCAGAAAGCUCUGUAGAAGUACACUUAACUGGUAAGUGCUCAUAUGCAAUUUCAUUUGUGACACACUAGAGUACUUAAUCUAUUUAAUGUUUUGAUGGGCUAUUGACACUUAAAUACAAAUAUCAUACGAAUCCAAAUACAAUAUCUCUUUAUAUCAGCACCUACGCUGCAAACACUCAACAAGCAAUCUCAAAAAACAAAACUAAAUGAAAAAACAGCCUACUUUGGAAAGACGUAUGUACAGCAGUUCUUCGCAUCUUGGCUUACAUUAUAUUACCAUCUCUCAGUUUUUGAUUCACUGAAAUCUGCAUUAAUGUUACUUUUCCUAAGAUGAAGAUCAGAAUGCGUCCUAGACUUACUUGUCUGCUUUACACUUUUAAUUAUUAGCUCAGCUAUGGCACUAUCCCUCUUCUUUGGAAUUUUUCCAGUGCCCCAGAAGGUAUUCAGAGUCAGUUUUGUUUAUUUACAAGUUUUUAUGGGUUUUUUGUUUUAAGUGUUCAGAUUUAAAUUGUCUUGAUUUACUCAUUUCCCAAAGGCUUCUUAAUAGCUUCACUUUUCUAUUAUCUUCUAAGAUCUUUCAAGAAAGAGUGUUUCACUGCCAUUAUCAAGCAUGAUUUGUUAUAAAAAACAUGUACCUGUCAUUUGUGAUAGUCCAUAAUAAUUAUUGACAGUUUCUCUAUUUCAAAACAGUUUUAUCAAUUACUUCUGUUCCUGCAUAUCUGCUGUUACUCACAUUAGGUUCUUUCUUGUGCUCUUUUCCUUUCCCUGAUAGUAUUUUACAGUAUAUUGGCCUCCUAGUUACAUAUGCAUUGUGAUCAUUUUUCUCCUUCUCUUUGAAUUUUGUCACAUUUCAUUUUCCUUCAUAAAUUUGUUUUAAAAUCAAUGUAAAUUUCUGUUUUGAACAUAGAUUGCUGUUUUUAAGCUACAGAUGUUUGUUAGUAAGUCUCAAUUGUUUAAUGGUUUUCUAUCAAUAAUUGCUCAAUGAUUUGCCUUACAAUUAUUUUCAAGAUCGAAAAACAGUCCUCUGCAAAGUUCAUACAGAAGUAUGUAUUUGUUUUUUUAUAUUUUUAUAACGCAUAUUUUUAUAUGCAUAAUGCAUGUAAUGCAUUAUGCAUGUAAUGCAUAAUGCACAUUUUUAUAUGCAUAAUGUAACACAUACAUGGAUUUGCUUAUAUACAGAGUGACAAAACCGUGUAUCCUGAUCACACAAGAAUAAAUAAUCACUAACUCACAACUUCUUUUGUCAUUUUUCCUUACCUGAUAACAUGAGAGGUCUAAUACAGAAUUUUCUGUCCUGGAUGUAAACUUUUCUGAGGCAUCCUUAAAAUUCUGGGGUCUCAGAAACAUUAUCAGCAUGAGACCACCAAAAAGAGACAAAGAGUUCAUUGAUCACAGGACAAAUGAAAAAAUUAUGACUGUCUUUUUUCUUUCUUUAGUGGAAUUUGAUCAGUUCUGGAAAUGGUCCUGGUUGGCAAAGUCAGUAGGCAUGUAUUUAAUGUUCGGCAUACAGUGAAGCACUUCACAGAGUAAGCCUGAAUUGAAGCACAUCUUCAAAAGAUUUCCUGGUACCUCUAGCAUCCAUCUGAAAAAAAAAA
Molecule: long non-coding RNA, 2887 nt
Organism: Gallus gallus (chicken)
Lineage: Eukaryota; Metazoa; Chordata; Aves; Galliformes; Phasianidae
Source: Ensembl